This 604-nucleotide ribosomal RNA is filed under the name uncultured bacterium. RNAcentral describes it as "bacterial SSU rRNA". It matches the Rfam family "Bacterial small subunit ribosomal RNA", at positions 112 to 714 of the family's 1533-position model. The record is from RNAcentral.
AACGCGUAUACAAUCUGCCUUGUACAGGAGUAUAGCCCAGGGAAACUUGGAUUAAUCCUCCAUAGCCUAUAUAAAUAGCAUUAUUAAUAUAGUAAAGAUUUAUCGGUACAAGAUGAGUAUGCGUCCUAUUAGUCUGUUGGUAAGGUAACGGCUUACCAAAACUACGAUAGGUAGGGGCCCUGAGAGGGGGAUCCCCCACACUGGUACUGAGACACGGACCAGACUCCUACGGGAGGCAGCAGUGAGGAAUAUUGGACAAUGGGUGAGAGCCUGAUCCAGCCAUGCCGCGUGCAGGAAGACGGCCCUAUGGGUUGUAAACUGCUUUUAUACGGGAAGAAACCCCCCAACGUGUUGGGGGCUGACGGUACCGUAAGAAUAAGGACCGGCUAACUCCGUGCCAGCAGCCGCGGUAAUACGGAGGGUCCGAGCGUUAUCCGGAAUCAUUGGGUUUAAAGGGUCCGUAGGCGGGCAGCUCAGUCAGUGGUGAAAGUUUGCGGCUUAACCGUAAAAUUGCCAUUGAUACUGGUUGUCUUGAAUUGGUGUGAAGUGGUUAGAAUGAGCAGUGUAGCGGUGAAAUGCAUAGAUAUUACUCAGAAUACCGAUU